Small nucleolar RNA from Jaculus jaculus (lesser Egyptian jerboa), 133 nucleotides. Its record names the gene SNORA70. It matches the Rfam family "Small nucleolar RNA SNORA70". Rfam says of the family: snoRNA U70 seems to be exclusive to mammals and is a member of the H/ACA class of snoRNA which contain H (ANANNA) and ACA box motifs. H/ACA box snoRNAs are involved in the conversion of uridines to pseudouridines (5-ribosyluracil) a constituent of structural RNAs (transfer, ribosomal, small nuclear, and small nucleolar). NCBI's taxonomy places the organism in Eukaryota, Metazoa, Chordata, Mammalia, Rodentia, Dipodidae. The record is from Ensembl.
AUGAAACCAAUUAAGACAACCAGUUUCCUCCCCUCAUGAGGGUUUUGUGUACAAUGGCUGCAAAAGCAGCCUCUUUGGUAGUAUAGUGUCCUGUUAUUUGUACAGGAUGUCCUAAGGGACCUUGAACACAGCU